CGGCAGGCAGAGCCAUCCACACUCACCCCAACACUGUGCAUCUAACACUGGCCCUGACCCUCCAGGAGGCUGCGGGGACACAGAGCCUUCCUUCACCGGGGACCCCUGCCYGGCACGGAGAGCAGCCCAGCCAUGCCCAAGCCCAGCUUUCUUCUCCCCAAGAUGAAGAGGAGCAUCCAGGUCCCUUUGUUCCCACCACACCCAACGAAG
Molecule: long non-coding RNA, 210 nt
Filed under: Urocitellus parryii (Arctic ground squirrel)
Lineage: Eukaryota; Metazoa; Chordata; Mammalia; Rodentia; Sciuridae
Description: lncRNA (ENSUPAG00010020682.1)
Source: RNAcentral